Molecule: non-coding RNA, 871 nt
Organism: Delphinapterus leucas (beluga whale)
Lineage: Eukaryota; Metazoa; Chordata; Mammalia; Artiodactyla; Monodontidae
Source: RefSeq, a predicted model, not a curated record
GGCAAACAAAACCUCAGUGGUAAAGCCAAACACAGCAGGUGAAUUCAUUUGAAUAAAAAGCUGAUGGACCAUUUUAACAUCAAGCCCGUGAAGGGUUACACGGGAUUGGGACCAGCUGCUUUCACUCACCCUUGUUAAAAGCAGGAACAGGCUGCAGAUAGUAUGGAGCUACCAAACAGAGGAAGCCUUGGCUUUGGAGAUGAAGUCUGAAAAUUCAUCCUCUGAAAAUGAAAAAAAAUGAAGCUUCUAGUUUCUGUGUGCAAGCGCUCAAUAAAAAAGCAGAGUACUUUUGCUGCUGAGAUAUUUCAAGACCUUCGGCUAAACAUCCAGCAAUAAAGAGUGGUUACGGUAAGAAGCACGAAUAUGGCAAAGCUGGACAUGAUGGAGAUUAUUACAGUCAUGGAGUAUGUAGGUGAGACAGAGGAGGAAGACAGGGAAGAGGGAGGCACGUUUGGAAUGUCCACACUCGGCUUUGAGGACGUCAUUGGUGGGAAUGCUCCAGUCACGGCUUGUCCAUCAAGAUUCCACCCGGUUCUUACCUCCCUAAGAAGUCUCGUUUGAUGACUCGACCCAGGUUGAAGAUGAGGAAAGGUGAACACAUUAUGCUGCUGCUUCUAAGUGGACGUGAGGGCUGGUCCUGUCAGUGAAUCUGAGUCCUUCAAUGCGUGUCCUGGAAGAGAGCACCUUUGGAAGGCUGGUUCAUAAAUUCAAGAACACAGGCAAUGUUUUGGGCACACUGUUUUGUGGAUGACUGUUUCUGAAGAGGACUAUGGUAGGAUUGUACUUCCCAACCUUUGGAAUUGGACAUGGCCAUGCAUCUUUUUUUGGACAAUGAAAUGAAGCAGAAGUGAUGUGUGUCACUUUUGGGGGU